CUAAAUAGCCAAUAACAUUUCCCAUCGGUGGAUUUUUUAAAUGAAGCGAAAACAAAAGCGGUGGCAAUUUCGCAAUUUUGCCUAAACUUCUCUUAACCAAUAGAAAAUGUUUUUUGUAGAUCUCAGAUCCCCUUUCUCUUAACCCUUCUGCUAAUAAUCUCACUCAUUGAAAGCCAUUGUUCUCACUCCUCAAAUCGUCGUCGUUCUCAACGUUUCAUCCAAUUGUGAUGUUGUUUUCACUCAAUCGAUGUCGUUCUCGCCGUUUCUCGUAUGGGUUCUCGUUGUCAGUGGAAGAAAAGCUCUUCUCCGGUUCUGAAAAUAUGGGUUUUCACUACAAGUAAGAAUUUAUAGUUGAUGGAUGCAUGUUUCUGGUGGUGUUCAACUUCAAAGGGCCUCAAUGGGUUAAAAUGGCACACAAUAGUUAAAAUGUUUAAGUACAAUGACACACUUGCUGUAUAAUGAUGAUGCAGUAGCAGCAAGGUGAAAAGACUCUUGGAGUCCACUUAAAUCAACAAAAAGAAGGAGAAAAGUGUGCAAGAGACAUAAAUGUGGAGUAAAAGGAGCUGAGGGUUCAAAAUGGUUGAAACAUUAUUGUAGUGAUCAUCAAAUACUGCUUGUGGAUGAGAGUGAUUUCUCCUUCUCCCUUUGCAUAUCCAAAUUAAGCUUUUGCUUCUACUGCCAACAUUUUGUCUUCUUCACUUGACAACUAUUGCGAAAGAUGGGAUGUCAAACAAAAGCUUUUCAUUGUUGUGCUGGACAGGAGGACUAUUAAACUUCAAAUUUUGCAGGAAACGAUCAAACAAAGUUAACAAGAGAUUCAAUUGCAUGCUAGUGAACUUUUUAAGUUGAUGGAUUAAGUCUCCAAGUACAAAGAACAUGUAUAAGAACUAGAACUUGCAGAUAUAUUUACUUUUAGUAACAUCAGAUUUUGGAUAUGGUAAUGUGAUGUACUUCAAUUUUGAACUGUAGAUAAUUUGUGUUAUGCAUAAUGCAUGUUUGUUAAUCACAUGGGUAAGGACUAGAACUUACAAAUAUUUUUACUUUUAAUAACAAUUUAUUUUGGAUAAUUUAUGUUAUGCAUGAUUGUAUAUCAUAGUAAGAAAAAUUUUGGUUUUGGUAUGGUAUAAGAAAAAGAUUAGAUCUCAUAUGGUAAUGCAGUUAAAAAAAUAGCUUAAAUAUUGAUUUUUUAUAAAUAAAAAAAGUAAGAUUUCACAUCAGUUAAGCCUGAUGCAGAUGGGAAAAAUAUAUUUUUUUUUAUUUCAAAAAUAUGGAUUUCCCAUCGGUGGAUACAUUAUUGCCGUAGUGAAAACCCCCAUGUGCUGCUCUUAACGACGCUUAUCACAUCAGUGCUAAAUAACCCGAUGUGC
This 1367-nucleotide long non-coding RNA is filed under the name Medicago truncatula (barrel medic). RNAcentral describes it as "lncRNA gene30910". Lineage: Eukaryota; Viridiplantae; Streptophyta; Magnoliopsida; Fabales; Fabaceae. The record is from RNAcentral.